Molecule: unclassified non-coding RNA, 414 nt
Filed under: Hevea brasiliensis (rubber tree)
Lineage: Eukaryota; Viridiplantae; Streptophyta; Magnoliopsida; Malpighiales; Euphorbiaceae
Source: RNAcentral
GCCCUAAGUGUGAACCUCCCCCCUUAAAAAGCAAAAGGUUUAAAAAUUAACAGGAAUAGUGCAUAGAACUUCAAUAAUUAUUCAGUUGGGGGAACAUGACGGCUGUAACAACUAUUCAGAAUGGUUAACUAAAGCAAUAAACUGCAUCCCCAUAGGGCUAUCCCAGCCGUAAGGUUCGGGAUUUCUAUUAGGAGGUUUUAGGUUUGGUCCUGCUAAUUGAAUAAGGAGAACUACCCUCAUUGUGUAGCUUCACCAAUGAAAAGAAAAUAGAAAUAAAAAUAAUGAAGAAGCAACAAACUGCACAUGCAUCAAAGCCUCAUCACUGAUAAUAUGGUGUAUCAACAGAAAAUCGUUCCAUGAGUUGAAAUCAGCAAGCUAAGCACAACCAUACCUGAUACAGUGGUGGUAACUGAU